UAAAAGGCUAUGACGGGAAAAAGUAACAUUGGUUUUUCUCUAAAGAGAGUCCUCGGCCGGUGGAAGAGGAUGAGAGUCUGAUGUGAAAUACAUCCUAUCAGCCGUAUUUUUGAACCAGGGCAUCAAGUCUUGCAGUAGGAAAUGACGGGUUGCGCUCGUUAUUGCGCAAGGGUUUUUUUGAACUCGUUAAGGUCUUUAUCUGUGAAGAUAAGGAUGCAUUGAGGUGGUACCACGGGAAUUUCUCGUCCUCUGC
This 253-nucleotide non-coding RNA is filed under the name Eubacteriaceae bacterium. RNAcentral describes it as "T-box sequence". It matches the Rfam family "T-box leader". Rfam says of the family: Uncharged tRNA acts as the effector for transcription antitermination of genes in the T-box leader family. Lineage: Bacteria; Bacillati; Bacillota; Clostridia; Eubacteriales; Eubacteriaceae. The record is from RNAcentral.